AUUGAACGCUGGCGGCAGGCCUAACACAUGCAAGUCGAGCGGAUGACGGGAGCUUGCUCCUUGAUUCAGCGGCGGACGGGUGAGUAAUGCCUAGGAAUCUGCCUGGUAGUGGGGGACAACGUUUCGAAAGGAACGCUAAUACCGCAUACGUCCUACGGGAGAAAGCAGGGGACCUUCGGGCCUUGCGCUAUCAGAUGAGCCUAGGUCGGAUUAGCUAGUUGGUGGGGUAAUGGCUCACCAAGGCGACGAUCCGUAACUGGUCUGAGAGGAUGAUCAGUCACACUGGAACUGAGACACGGUCCAGACUCCUACGGGAGGCAGCAGUGGGGAAUAUUGGACAAUGGGCGAAAGCCUGAUCCAGCCAUGCCGCGUGUGUGAAGAAGGUCUUCGGAUUGUAAAGCACUUUAAGUUGGGAGGAAGGGCAGUAAGUUAAUACCUUGCUGUUUUGACGUUACCGACAGAAUAAGCACCGGCUAACUCUGUGCCAGCAGCCGCGGUAAUACAGAGGGUGCAAGCGUUAAUCGGAAUUACUGGGCGUAAAGCGCGCGUAGGUGGUUUGUUAAGUUGGAUGUGAAAGCCCCGGGCUCAACCUGGGAACUGCAUCCAAAACUGGCAAGCUAGAGUACGGUAGAGGGUGGUGGAAUUUCCUGUGUAGCGGUGAAAUGCGUAGAUAUAGGAAGGAACACCAGUGGCGAAGGCGACCACCUGGACUGAUACUGACACUGAGGUGCGAAAGCGUGGGGAGCAAA
Molecule: ribosomal RNA, 749 nt
Filed under: uncultured bacterium
Lineage: Bacteria
Description: bacterial SSU rRNA
Rfam family: Bacterial small subunit ribosomal RNA
Source: RNAcentral